Molecule: ribosomal RNA, 634 nt
Filed under: Penicillium kewense
Lineage: Eukaryota; Fungi; Ascomycota; Eurotiomycetes; Eurotiales; Aspergillaceae
Description: eukaryotic LSU rRNA
Rfam family: Eukaryotic large subunit ribosomal RNA
Source: RNAcentral
UUGACCUCGGAUCAGGUAGGGAUACCCGCUGAACUUAAGCAUAUCAAUAAGCGGAGGAAAAGAAACCAACAGGGAUUGCCCCAGUAACGGCGAGUGAAGCGGCAAGAGCUCAAAUUUGAAAGCUGGCUCCUUCGGGGUCCGCAUUGUAAUUUGCAGAGGAUGCUUCGGGAGCGGUCCCCAUCUAAGUGCCCUGGAACGGGACGUCAUAGAGGGUGAGAAUCCCGUAUGGGAUGGGGUGUCCGCGCCCGUGUGAAGCUCCUUCGACGAGUCGAGUUGUUUGGGAAUGCAGCUCUAAAUGGGUGGUAAAUUUCAUCUAAAGCUAAAUAUUGGCCGGAGACCGAUAGCGCACAAGUAGAGUGAUCGAAAGAUGAAAAGCACUUUGAAAAGAGAGUUAAAAAGCACGUGAAAUUGUUGAAAGGGAAGCGCUUGCGACCAGACUCGCUCGCGGGGUUCAGCCGGCAUUCGUGCCGGUGUACUUCCCCGCGGGCGGGCCAGCGUCGGUUUGGGCGGUCGGUCAAAGGCCCUCGGAAGGUAACGCCCCUCGGGGCGUCUUAUAGCCGAGGGUGCAAUGCGACCUGCCCAGACCGAGGAACGCGCUUCGGCUCGGACGCUGGCAUAAUGGUCGUAAACGACC